Molecule: ribosomal RNA, 595 nt
Filed under: uncultured Glomeromycotina
Lineage: Eukaryota; Fungi; Glomeromycota
Description: SSU rRNA
Rfam family: Eukaryotic small subunit ribosomal RNA
Source: RNAcentral
GGGUUCGAUUCCGGAGAGGGAGCCUGAGAAACGGCUACCACAUCCAAGGAAGGCAGCAGGCGCGCAAAUUACCCAAUCCCGACACGGGGAGGUAGUGACAAUAAAUAACAACACAGGGCUCUUUUGGGUCUUGUUAUUGGAAUGAGUACGAUUUAAAUCUCCUAACGAGGAACAAUUGGAGGGCAAGUCUGGUGCCAGCAGCCGCGGUAAUUCCAGCUCCAAUAGCGUAUAUUAAAGUUGUUGCAGUUAAAAAGCUCGUAGUUGAAUUUCAGGCCUGGCUGGACGGUCCGCCCUUCGGGUGAGUACUGUCUGUGGUCGGGUCCUACCUUCUGGCGAAGCGUCAUGGCCUUAACCGGCCGUGGCGGGGAACCAGGACUUUUACUGUGAAAAAAUUAGAGUGUUCAAAGCAGGCAAAUCGCUUGGAUACAUUAGCAUGGAAUAAUGGAAUAGGACAAUGGUUCUAUUUGUUGGUUUCUAGGACCGUUGUAAUGAUUAAUAGGGAUAGUUGGGGGCAUUAGUAUUCAAUUGUCAGAGGUGAAAUUCUUGGAUUUAUUGAAGACUAACUACUGCGAAAGCAUUUGCCAAGGAUGUUUUC